This is a long non-coding RNA of Passer domesticus (house sparrow), 1387 nucleotides long. RefSeq lists it as uncharacterized. NCBI's taxonomy places the organism in Eukaryota, Metazoa, Chordata, Aves, Passeriformes, Passeridae. The transcript is spliced from 3 exons. The record is from RefSeq and is a predicted model, not a curated record.
CCCGUUUGGCCCUAUGCACAUUGGCAUUUGGCACUUGAUUAUUCUGUAUAGCAGAUGAAAAUAUAAAAGAAAAUUUUAGGGAGAUCAGAAUGCAUUUUUAUUGCACACAAUGAAAACCUUCUGCAUAAAUCUGCUAGAUUUCUUAGAUUGCCAAUUAGCAUGACCAUAAUUUUUGCUCAAGUAAUCAGUUCUCUUUACUGGAUGAACAAAAUAAGCAUUUUUUAACUCAAGAUGGAAAAAUAUCUCUCUCAUUCUCUACCAGCUUAAUUAUAAAGUGACGGAAUUAAGACUUCAAGUCUUGGAUUACCAAAAAUGGAUUGGCUGAUUUUCACUAAGAAGAAUGACUGGCCAUAGCUGCUGGAAAGCUGCUCCUACAGAUGUUGAUGGCAAAUGUUUAGCUCUUGCUGGGAAGCUCUUGAUUGCAGCUGGAGAAGUUUAAGGGCCAGCCUCUGCCAGUCUCAGCUACAUGAGAUGUUACACACCCCACAUUCAGAGAUUUCCAGCCCCACAGCUCUUGGUUCAGAGCUCCAGCAGCCCACAGACCGAGUGACCUCACCCAGUCAUCUUUGCUGGAGCCCCUCAUUUCUGGGUUUGCACAGACACAAGUGGAGGAAUGCAGGGUGGGCAGCAUCUGCCCUUGUGCUCAGCCACCAAAGGGAAUGACACAGGUUUGCGUCACUGGAGGAGGAAAUAAGCCGUGGCUUGGACCACAACAAACACUUGCACUCUGGCAUCCCACUUGAGAUCUUGUGACUCUGGUUGUCUCCACAAGGCAAGAAUGCUCUUCUUGCAUGUGUCUGCCCCACACUGUAGCAGGGGCCUUGUUCAAAGGCUUGACAUCAGUGACACAAGUGCAAAAUCAAAGCCAGAGCUGGCUGCACUCCAAGGAUCCAUCCUGCUGAUGCCUCAGCUGUGCCAGUUGGAGUUAGUUAUCAAGGAAGAGAAACUAUACCACAAGUGCUGAAGGGAUUGGGAACAUCAUGUCUGGCGUAAACAGGAACUGCAGAGCUGUGGCAGGACCAUCCUGACCUUUGCAGUGUGGGAGAAGACAUGAUGUGGUUUAUUCAGCACAGCCUUACUCUUCCUCAGCCCAGAAGGCAAUGCUCAGGGACUGCUAAUGCACAUAGCCCAAGGGUAAGAGCAGAGGCCUUUCUAAAAUAUCAAAUGGAAUUGCUGUCUUCUGGAAAAAUUGACAGGUUUCUUUCCAUCUAUGUUCUCUCUGCCCUAGACCAGCUCUUUGUACCUUAGCCUGGUUCCAAGGGCAAGUCCAGCACCCAGGUUUGGGGCUCUCCUCAGCAUGCACAGCUACAACAAAUAGCAUGAAAUCACACUAGGGAAAAGGAGAUUCUGCCAACCACAGGCUCAGUCCCAAAGCUAUUUUUUGGUC